UGUCAGAGGGAAAAAGUUUAUUGAGUCAGCCACAGAGGAACAGAGAAACAGACGCAAGGAGGUUCUCUGUGCAUGGAAGAAAUCAGGGCACUGCACAGCUGAACCCUGUGCAGGACAGAGGGGCGUGGACAGCAGCGCAUGCCACAAACAUUCACCUGGCAAAGAAACAGAGCAGAACCCAAGGGCUCUGUGUACACACAGACACAAACAUGAGGCCACUGUCACCCAACUAAUAGAAAAGAGUCGAGUGAUACGACCCUUCCUUACGACCUCCUCAUAAAAUGUAACAUUAUGUGUUUAACACACACUUAUACCAUUGCUAAAUCAGCAAGAGCUAUUAUAGUGCUCCAACUUAAUAAGUUGAUAAAAAGCUGUCCUGUGGCCAGUUCACAAUGGAACUAAAUAGUUUCAUUCCGAGAUGCCUGGGGAGUUCCUCUGGCAACGAGGCAUUUCCAACAAACGGGUCGUUCUGUCACCAGGGGCUGGUUUCAGUCCACGGUGCCCCUGCGACGUGCCCCUGGCAGCCCUGUGGAGGGCAAGGGGAUGCCGCUGGGAGGGGUGCUCAGUCCUCCUGGAGGCCCCAAGGAGGGGCUGGUCAAGGGGCCACCUUGAGGUUUGGGGGAUCUGGCCGGAGAGUGAUGGCUGGCUUUGCAUGAGGAGGUGACAAGAACUUUAGGCUGGGUCCCCAACAUGCUGUGUGCACGGGCCUCUUCAACCCGGAACUGAACUGACACCUCUCCCAGGCGGUGAAGGGCAGAACCCCCCCCAGGAGCUCUCGGAAGCGGGGGUCCCUCACGACAGGCCUGUGGUAGCAGGCUUGGAGGCAGGGAGCUGGUGUCUCUCAGAAGCGGCAUGUGCUGGUGGGAGGCGGAGGGACAGAUGAGGCCGAUUCCGCAGCAGCAGUCCCUCGCACGCUGUGUGGUGGCUAAAGCUGGACCAAAGUUGAGGCAGAAGCGAAACAGCGUGGGAAAAGGUGUCCAUCUUUUUGGUUAAUGUCUAGUGUGGACAGCAGCAGUAUUUGGUGUUUUACAAACUGGGUCUCUAAUAGGGGCCGCCAUCGCUGGUGGCUGCACAAACCAUUAGCCAUAGAAAGGAAGAGUUGGUAUCUUUGAGUAUUUUUCAAACUUAUCACCUGAACAUCACCGCCCCAGAGGUGGGAGAGCCGAGGGCAGCCCGCAGCACCCCUUCCACCCCUCUUGUUGCUGCAAGGACGGCUUCCUGUUCAGCUCUGGGGUUCUAGAUGGUCACAGACCAAGUCCUCCACACCUGGGGUCUUCAGGAAACACUCCUGAGAGCUGCUGGAAGCCACUAACCAUCUGAGGAGGGCUCAGCGGCCCUGCCUCCCCCCAGGGGACAGGACUGGAUGGAGUGCUUCUCCCAGGGGCCUGAAGUUUUCAAGGACAGGUAUCCAAGAGACAGCACACGGCGCUGGCAUGUUCAGUGGCAGGUCGGAUGAUUCCAGCUAAGACGCCUGCCUGGGAGUGAGAAAAACAACACUCCAAAGCUAGCUCUUCAGCCGCCAGGGACGUCAUGAUGCCAGUCUGUCGACAGACCUGGGAAAGGGGUCACAGGAAGACCGGCCCAGCUGGGAGCUCACAGCCUCUGCCCCUUCCCACCAGCUCGCAUUCCGGCACCUGGAAACUUCUGCCGUGUGUUAAGGGGAAGCUCGUUAAAAGAUUUUUUACUUAGCUGACUUGUAUAGGGAACAAAACCACCACAAACGAGAUCAAUGUUCUCCUAGUUUGGUAACCGGUCUGUGCGCAUCACACAAGACUCGACGCACCAACACCCUGCCUGACACUCCAGCCAGCGCGCAGAGGCACCUGGGACACCAGCCUGCACAGCCCAAACCCCAAGGGUGCCAUGAGCCAUACUCCAGCUGCGUCCUCAGCACUGGAUAGCUGGCCACCUUCCCCAAGGGGCACCUGCACGGCCUCCUCUUCCUCUGGGGCAAGGCUGCCAGCCAGAGCACCUCCCCUUUGACAUUGACCAGUGUCCCCAGCCCGCCUUGGUACUGCAUCUAUCUGAGGUACAAGGUUAGAAGCCACAGACACCUGAGCGGCAGCCUGACCAACACAAGCUGCGGGCACAAUGGCGCGUUGCAGACAAGACAGCCGGCCCGCCUGCCCUUCUCGGCUUCCCUUAAGACACAAGGUGACGACACGGACAGGUUCAAGUGAGUGCAAUCUGGAAAUAAUCUCAGUGCAAGGGAGGGGUUGAGGCUAAAGGAUGCAGCGAUCUGGUCCUCGCUGUGACCAGGCCGGGCCCACACGCACUGCGAGGGCCCUGGUCACCCGUGCCUGCCUCCCAGGAAGGCAGCUCCAGAAACCGACUCUACUGACCCCGGACCCCAGCCCCCGCGGUGCCCACAUUUGGGGUCCGCACACUGACCUGCACACUAAGAAGGGCUUUGCUUGCAAACACCUGAAGGGCUGAUAACUUGACGAGUCUACAAAGUGUGCGGCCACUGACUCCUGUCACCGAGGAGCACCUGACAGUCACGCCUGUCCCUGGCUGGCCCUGGCUUCCGGUGCGUUCAUACUCUGACAGCGACUGUGGCAAGGUCAUGCGCAGGGCACUGCAUGGUCUUUGUUAUCCUUACUUCAGAUUAGUCGAGGCUGGGAUCUCAAGGGUUCACACACUGUUCAGACGGGGGUUGCGAGGCCCCUCUUCCUCCUCAAACUCAAGUCGCAGCCAGGCCCUGAGAUUUCUGCGCUCCCAGCUGGUGAGGAAUCGGCUUUGGUGAGCCCUGGAUCCGCUCCCUGGACCUUCAGAUG
RNAcentral lists this long non-coding RNA (2777 nucleotides) under Macaca fascicularis (crab-eating macaque). Its description in RNAcentral is "lncRNA (ENSMFAG00000057959.1)". The record is from RNAcentral. Lineage: Eukaryota; Metazoa; Chordata; Mammalia; Primates; Cercopithecidae.